GGAUUAGCUCAGCUGGGAGAGCGCUUGAAUGGCAUUCAAGAGGUCAGGGGUUCAACUCCCCUAUCC
RNAcentral lists this transfer RNA (66 nucleotides) under Planctomycetes bacterium RIFCSPHIGHO2_02_FULL_50_42. RNAcentral describes it as "tRNA-Ala". It matches the Rfam family "tRNA". Rfam says of the family: Transfer RNA (tRNA) molecules are approximately 80 nucleotides in length. Their secondary structure includes four short double-helical elements and three loops (D, anti-codon, and T loops). Further hydrogen bonds mediate the characteristic L-shaped molecular structure. tRNAs have two regions of fundamental functional importance: the anti-codon, which is responsible for specific mRNA codon recognition, and the 3' end, to which the tRNAs corresponding amino acid is attached (by aminoacyl-tRNA synthetases). tRNAs cope with the degeneracy of the genetic code in two manners: having more than one tRNA (with a specific anti-codon) for a particular amino acid; and 'wobble' base-pairing, i.e. permitting non-standard base-pairing at the 3rd anti-codon position. Lineage: Bacteria; Pseudomonadati; Planctomycetota. The record is from RNAcentral.